This is a long non-coding RNA of Helianthus annuus (common sunflower), 401 nucleotides long. RefSeq lists it as uncharacterized. Lineage: Eukaryota; Viridiplantae; Streptophyta; Magnoliopsida; Asterales; Asteraceae. The transcript has 4 exons. The record is from RefSeq and is a predicted model, not a curated record.
UGUGUUCUGGAACGAUCAGAAGGGGCUCCAUAGGAGCCAAGCCCUAAUUCUUCAAAAGCUUCAAAUCAAGGGAUGAUUCAAGGCUCAAAUUCGCAAAUAAACAUGGAAUAAUGAUCACCGUCACAAGGGGAUCAUAAGAAUAGGAAACACACAAGCGUGGACUAAGCAUGGAAGGCUAACGGGUCAAGAUGAGGCAGGGAAGCGGUCACGAACACGGAUGCACAAGGUUGUACGAGUCACGGAAGAUCACUGAGGUGUGGAGAUCGAAGACCGAGUCACAAGUUAGAUUGUACGGGAAUGUUUGAAUAACUAAUUUGGUCAUUUCAUGGAAGCGUAGGGACUAAAUAUGCAACGUACCAAAGUAAAAGGGCAUAAAGUGCAACUCACCCUGAUAAAUACAG